CAAAACUAAACAAGCAAAGAGAAAAAAACUAUGCUAAAACUGUGAUUAAAACUCAAAAACAAAAAAAAAAAAUUUAACAUGGUAAUAAAAUGUGUUGUGUUCAGGGGAUGGAGGGAGUUUAUUGAAGUCUUCUUGGGCUCACAUGGGAAAUCAUUGAAAAUAUAAACUUGAUAUUCAGUCUAAGGAAACUGCAGAGCGACAGAAGAACCAACAAUAUCUCCUGUUUUCUCCUUUAAUGGGUCGACUCUUCUUGUGCUUUCAGACCAAAGAACUACAGACUCUUCACAACCUGCUCAAACUCUUGGUACAGGACCUCACCACACGGGUCAAGAAGGUUUCCUUCUCAUUUCUACUCUGAAGCUCACCUUCUCCUGCUCAAACUGCUGACAAAUGUUUCUGCUGCUCUAAAGUCUGGUCUCCAGAACUUCCUAAAAACUCUCAAAGUCUCUUCUGCUGCUGGUUGCUUUGUAGAACUGUUCCAGAAAACCUCACUAAACCACAUGGAGGGGCCUCAAGAUAGUCAUCCAAAUGAAACCAUACAAAAACCAAACUAGCACAACCCAAACACUAAAGUCUCCUGCAGCCUACCAGAGAACCUCUGAGAACAGAGAAUCAGGACAGGAACUCUUACCUUCUGGACAACCAAUGCUGGUUCACAAACAAGAAUACAGAAUGUGUCUGACCAAAAACCUCUAAAGACUCACUACAGCCAAGAUAAAGACACAACUCAGCUGCACCAAAUCCACUAAUCACUGCACACAUUAACACCAUGUGCUAACUGUGGCUAAAGAACCACAUUUACCAAGACAACUAUCCAGUACAAAGCCCUAAAACACACCAAGAAACACAUUAAAGACGAUUUUACUGCUGGAAGCUGCAAGCCAACACCUAAACAACAAACUAAAGCAAUGGAGCCAAACCCAGUUCAGUGGUGAAGAGAAGCAGAGGAAAUGUUUGUCUGCAGCUAAAUAAAGCAGGAAGACACUGAGCUGCUCAGGUGUUCCUGAUAACACCAAGCAGCCACCUGGACAGCCAAUAGGAACACAGCCACCUGGACAGCCAAUAGGAACACAGCUUCCUGGAAGUCCAGAGGGCUGGGUUAGUGAAGGAAAUUUAGUUUAAAGUUGAAGCAGAAAGUUAACAAAGAAAGUUGAAAACCACCUUCUGAUCCCUGAAAUCUCUGAGUUUUCACACAAAGAACACCUGAACAUGUCAAACUGGUUCCAUAGUAGAACCAUCAUUGUAAAAACGUCAUAGUAUGGUGUGUUGCUCAAAAACAUUAGGACCUGGCUGUCAGGGACAAACAUGUAAGAAACAUGAGAACAGAGAGAACCCAACCAGUAGGUCACAGUUUAUCAUCCCCCAGUCAUCUCCUGAAGUCCAUAUGGUGAGAGACAUCAGUAUCUGGUUGUUAAUUUACCAGAGGAUGCUUAUAAUCAUGCUGAUGUGGUCUGUACUCUACAGUAUUUUAGUGACUCAAUAAAUGCCUAAGUUGUUUUUUUAAAAA
This is a long non-coding RNA of Amphiprion ocellaris (clown anemonefish), 1507 nucleotides long. RefSeq lists it as uncharacterized. Lineage: Eukaryota; Metazoa; Chordata; Actinopteri; Pomacentridae. The record is from RefSeq and is a predicted model, not a curated record. The transcript has 2 exons.